GUGCUCUCUUCAGCAGCGCAUGUGCUAAAACUGGAACUGCAGGGAGAUUAGUGUGGUCCCUAAGCAAGGAGGACACACGAAUUUGUGAAGCGGUCCAUGUUUUU
Molecule: small nuclear RNA, 104 nt
Organism: Fukomys damarensis (Damara mole-rat)
Lineage: Eukaryota; Metazoa; Chordata; Mammalia; Rodentia; Bathyergidae
Source: Ensembl